GAAAUUCAAUAAUGUGUUGGACGACAUCAGAAAAGUUGUUAAGUUUAAUUUUAUUUUAAUUGUCGUAUGUACAUUUAAGUGAACUUGUCGACUGCUACCUGGUAUUCGUGUUGACUGCUGCGUGGUUUUCGUGAACAAGAGACCGAAGAUGGCCGCCACCCGAGACCGGCGCGUGAAUGCGGGCAGUAAGAUGUCGCGGUUGUUGGAGGACGAUGAUGAAGACGAUUUCUACAAGACAACAUACGGCGGAUUCAACGAGGAGGAGGAGGAUAAGGACUAUGAGUCGGAGGACUUGCCGUCUGACACGGUCGACUCGGACUUUGACAUCGAUGAACACGACGAGGCGCGAAGCGAUGUCGAGAACGGUGACGAACCCAAGAGAAAGAAACGCGGCAUCGACACGAAGGCGUACAAGGAACCAAUCUCCAAAGAGCCACCGAAAGAGAAAACUGUUGUCAAGAAGAAACCCAAACUUGACAAGUCUCCAGUGCAAAUCUACCACUUUACAGAGAGGAAGAGUAAACGUCAGUCGACGCAGAUGAAGACGGAACAAGCCGCACGCAAUCAGAAGGAGCGGGAACACAAGAUGAAGAUGAUGAGAGAAAUCGCGUCGAGGAAAAACGUGUCGAGCGUGCGUCGCCUCACACAGGCCGAGCUCCUGAAGGAGGCAAAACACACGGAGAAACUCAAUCAGCAGAGUUUAGAGGAUUUCCGUAAGCUUGAGUUGGAGAAGAAGAAGACACGCGUCACGAAGCAGGUGUACCGCGGUCCAGUGAUUCGCUACCACUCUGUAACCAUGCCCGUCGUCGAGGAGCUGUACGCAGAGCCAGAAAUAAACGUAGAGGGAGAGAGUUCUGUAGAGCUCCCGCGGAAAUGUGAAGAAGUGAAAUGUGUCACCAAGUGUUCGCGGACGUUCAUCACAUUCACCGAUGACGCAAUCUACCAGGAUCUGUUUGCCAAAAAGCGAGAGAAGUACGCUCCGAAACAGAUUUGUCCCAUCACCCGGCAACCCGCCAAGUAUUUCGACCCCAUCACGCAGACGCCAUACGCGACACUGCACGCGUUCCGGUGUAUCCGAGUGGCAUAUGCACAGCAGCUCGAGAGUGCGAAGAUUCGCAAGAAAGAGAAGUCUCCAGUGACCAUGUUAGAAACACCCAGCGUCAGUGUUAGUAGCUGAUAGAACAGAUUUGAAUAUUGCAGAAGAGAAGCAAAUUGUUGAAAGAAGGAUACAGCACUAGUGACUAUAUUUCUGUUUGAAAGAACAGAAUUGAACAUAAAAGAUUAAAAUAUAACAAAAGAGAAACAAAUUCUCGAAAGAAGGAAAAAUGACCAGUUACCAUGUUGUAAAAACUGAACGUCAGUGUUAGUAGCUGAUAGAACAGAUUUGAAUAUUGCAGAAGAGAAGCAAAUUCUUGAAAGAAAGAUAAAGUAGUAGUGACUAUGUGUCUGUUUGAAAGAACAGAUUUGAAUAUUACAAAAUGGACACACUGGUAGGUGAUUUCACCAUCUGAUAGUUGAAACAUAAAAGAUUUGAUUGUUACAUAAGACAUUGGACUUACGGAAGAAGGAUAAAGUACUAGUCACUAUGUUAAAUUCACCAAGCGGCUUCAGGGUUUGACAGAUCCGCUAGUCCUCAAUCCCAGCUGUUGUUGGUCGAGGCUAGUACAAAAUAACAGCUUUAUUACUAUAAUAUAUAGGGCACUAGCCAAAGCUUCUGUGAGGGCCGAAUGGCUGACUGGGACAAACAGAUCACUAGUGACUACAGGUAUAGGACAAACAAAUCACCAGUGACUGCAGGUCUAGGAUUGACAAAUCACCAGUGACUACAUGUCUAGGAUCGACAAAUCACUAGUGACUACAGGUCUAGGAUUGACAAAUCACUAGUGACUACAGGUUUAGGACAAACAAAUCAAUAGUGACUACAGGUCUCUGUGUUUAGAAACAUCAGGAUGUCAGUCUGGUAUUCUACUGGUAAUCAUUCCUGGUGAGAAACAUGAAGACGUUCCCGACCUUGCAGUUGUCCAAGGCAGUUGGCCAUGCAAUACAGAUUGCAAUAAACCAUUCAGUUCUGCACA
This 2075-nucleotide unclassified non-coding RNA is filed under the name Gigantopelta aegis. RNAcentral's name for it is "vacuolar protein sorting-associated protein 72 homolog, transcript variant X1". The record is from RNAcentral. Lineage: Eukaryota; Metazoa; Mollusca; Gastropoda; Neomphalida; Peltospiridae.